RNAcentral lists this transfer RNA (77 nucleotides) under Gammaproteobacteria bacterium. Its description in RNAcentral is "tRNA-Thr". It matches the Rfam family "tRNA". Rfam says of the family: Transfer RNA (tRNA) molecules are approximately 80 nucleotides in length. The record is from RNAcentral. Lineage: Bacteria; Pseudomonadati; Pseudomonadota; Gammaproteobacteria.
GCCGGAAUAGCUCCAACUGGUAGAGCGCGUCACUCGUAACGACGAUGUUCGCGGUUCGACCCCGCGUUCCGGCACCA